This 319-nucleotide ribosomal RNA is filed under the name uncultured eukaryote. RNAcentral's name for it is "partial 18S ribosomal RNA". It matches the Rfam family "Eukaryotic small subunit ribosomal RNA", at positions 1470 to 1796 of the family's 1831-position model. The record is from RNAcentral.
CCCUUAGAUGUUCUGGGCAGCACGCGCACUACAAUGGUCUUCGCAAACGGAUGCAUUCUCGAAGGAGAAUGCCAAUCUUGGAAUCUAUGCCUUGGUCGGGACAGUUGCCUGCAAUUUUUCGACUCGAACCAGGAAUUCCUUGUAAUCGUGAUUCAUCACAUCACGAUGAAUACGUCCCUGCCCUUUGUACACACCGCCCGUCGCUCCUACCGAUCGAAGAGUUAGGUGAAUUGUUUUGAUCGAUAAGAUUUGACUAUGGUCAACUCUCGUUGUGAAAUUCUGUGAAUCUGACUGUUUAGAGGAAGGAAAAGUCGUAACA